This 468-nucleotide ribosomal RNA is filed under the name uncultured bacterium. RNAcentral describes it as "partial 16S ribosomal RNA". It matches the Rfam family "Bacterial small subunit ribosomal RNA", at positions 28 to 507 of the family's 1533-position model. The record is from RNAcentral.
GACGAACGCUGGCGGCGUGCUUAACACAUGCAAGUCGAACGGAAAGGGCCUGCUUUUUCCGGGUGCUCGAGUGGCGAACGUGUGAAUAACAUGGGAGUAACCUGCCUAUGACGGGGUGAUAACUUCAGGAAACUGGUGCUAAUACCGGAUACGUGCUCCUGCUGCAUGGUGGGGGUUGGAAAGUUUCGGCGGUUGGGGCUGGACUCCCGGCUUAUCAGCUUGUGGGGGGGGUAGUGGCUAACGAAGGCUUUGACGGGUAGUCCGCCUGAGAGGGUGACCGGCGACAUUGGUACUGAGAUACGGCCCAGACUGCUACGGGAGGCAGCAGUGGGGAAUAUUGCACAAUGGGCGGAAGCCUGAUGCAGCAAUGCCGCGUGCGGGAUGAAGGCCUUCGGGUUGUAAACCGCUGUAGCCUGUGACGAAGCGUGAGUGACGGUAAUGGGUAAAGAAGCACCGGCUAACUACGUG